GGCGGCGUGCCUAACACAUGCAAGUCGUACGAGAAAGUUGGCUUCGGCCGAUGAGUAAAGUGGCGCACGGGUGAGUAAUGCGUGGAUAAUCUGCCCUUUAGUUGGGAAUAACGUACCGAAAGGUGCGCUAAUACCUGAUAAUACUGCAUAACUACUGUUGUGUAGUCAAAGAAGGCCUCUGUUUACAAGCCUUUUGCUGAAGGAUGAGUCCGCGUACCAUUAGCUGGUUGGUGGGGUAAUGGCCUACCAAGGCUACGAUGGUUAGCUGGUCUGAGAGGAUGAUCAGCCACACUGGAACUGAGACACGGUCCAGACUCCUACGGGAGGCAGCAGUGAGGAAUAUUGCGCAAUGGGGGCAACCCUGACGCAGCAACGCCGCGUGAGUGAGGAAGGUUUUCGGACCGUAAAGCUCUGUCGAGCGGGAAGAAAUGUAUCAUGGCUAAUAUCCAUGAUACUUGACGGUACCGCUAAAGGAAGCACCGGCUAACUCCGUG
RNAcentral lists this ribosomal RNA (494 nucleotides) under uncultured bacterium. RNAcentral describes it as "bacterial SSU rRNA". It matches the Rfam family "Bacterial small subunit ribosomal RNA", at positions 38 to 507 of the family's 1533-position model. The record is from RNAcentral.